UACCUGCAGCUCUAGUGGUGAUCGCUAUUAUUGGGCCUAAAACGUCCGUAGCCGGCUUAUUAAAUGCCUGGGUAAAUCGUGUAGCUUAACUAUACGAAUUCCGGGUAGACUGAUAGGCUUGAGACCGGGAGAAGCUAGAGGUACUCCUGGGGUAGAGGUGAAAUUCUGUAAUCCUAGGGGGACCACCAGUGGCGAAGGCGUCUAGCUAGAACGGGUCUGACGGUGAGGGACGAAGCCCUGGGGCGCAAACCGGAUUAGAUACCCGGGUAGUCCAGGGUGUAAACGCUGCUUGCUUGAUGUUAGUUGGGCUCUGAGCCCAAUUAGUGUCGGAGAGAAGUUGUUAAGCAAGCUGCCUGGGAAGUACGGUCGCAAGACUGAAACUUAAAGGAAUUGGGCGGGGGAGCACAGCAACGGGUGGAGCGUGCGGUUU
Molecule: ribosomal RNA, 430 nt
Filed under: uncultured archaeon
Lineage: Archaea
Description: bacterial SSU rRNA
Rfam family: Archaeal small subunit ribosomal RNA
Source: RNAcentral